RNAcentral lists this ribosomal RNA (456 nucleotides) under Aphodius witboii. Its description in RNAcentral is "partial 16S ribosomal RNA". The record is from RNAcentral. Lineage: Eukaryota; Metazoa; Arthropoda; Insecta; Coleoptera; Scarabaeidae.
GUCUUUUUGAUUAUAAUUUAAAGUCUAACCUGCCCAAUGAAUUAUUCAAUGGCCGCAGUAUUUUAACUGUGCGAAGGUAGCAUAAUAAUUAGUUUUUUAAUUGAGAACUGGUAUGAAUGGUUGGACGAGAAAAUAGCUGUCUCAAUUUAAUUUGAAUUAGAAUUUUAUUUUUAAGUUAAAAAGCUUAAAUUUUUUUAAAAGACGAGAAGACCCUAUAGAGUUUAAUAUUAAAAAUCUUAUUUAUUUAUAAAGUAUUGCACAAAUUUAAAUUAAUUUUAGUAUUUUAUUGGGGUGAUAUAAAAAUUUAAAAAACUUUUUAUUUUUAAUAACAUUAAUAUAUGAUUAUUUGAUCCAUUUUUUAUGAUUAAAAGAAUAAAUUACCUUAGGGAUAACAGCGUAAUUUUUUUUUAAAGUUCUUAUUGAAAAAAAAGUUUGCGACCUCGAUGUUGGAUUAAA